This is a non-coding RNA of Cinara cedri, 531 nucleotides long. NCBI's taxonomy places the organism in Eukaryota, Metazoa, Arthropoda, Insecta, Hemiptera, Aphididae. The record is from the annotation of a GenBank genome assembly.
CCAAGCACAUUAUAUUCGUAAGAAUUUAUUUUUAUCGAUACCCGUUUCACAAAAUGUAAGACACAAACAAGCAAUAUUGGUUCGACUCGUUUCACUCGGUCAUAAUGCCAAUAUUAAAAUUAUUUUAUUUUUUUUUUUUUGUAGUCAAAUUAUUGUACUUGUGACAAUGUUUAAAAUCCAUAUGUUUGUAAAGUUCAGUACGCGUAAAAUAUUUUAAAAGAUUUAUGAUAUUAUUUUAAACAAAUUAAGUGAAUAUAUCACACAUUUAUCACACAUAAUCACACAUUUCGCAUAUCGUACAAAUUUAAUUUUGAGUUACACGAUAGCCGAAGUGUCUCUGGAAAUUUAAUUUCACUCUGAUCAUUACUGUUCGUGCGUUUAUAUUGAUUGCGUUUUAUUUACAUUAGCCGAUUUGUUGCCUUCGAAGGUGUUUAAAAUUAAACGCUGCGCAUCGACGUAAUUCUAAUUGUAAACCUCUUUGUUCACAGUCUAUGAUAUAAGACGCGCGCAAAAAUGUGCUGCAGGUUUAGG